AGGUCAAGCUACAAAGGGCGCAUGGUGAAUGCCUUGGCAUCAGGAGCCGAUGAAGGACGCGAUAAGCUGCGAUAAGCUUCGGGUAGACGCACAUAGUCAGAGAUCCGAAGAUUUCCGAAUGAGGAAACUCACAUGGGAAACCCCAUGUAUCAUAAAGUGAAUACAUAGCUUUAUGAAGGUAUACC
The sequence is a ribosomal RNA, 185 nucleotides long. It matches the Rfam family "Bacterial large subunit ribosomal RNA", at positions 1 to 185 of the family's 2925-position model.